RNAcentral lists this ribosomal RNA (460 nucleotides) under uncultured bacterium. RNAcentral's name for it is "partial 16S ribosomal RNA". It matches the Rfam family "Bacterial small subunit ribosomal RNA", at positions 338 to 795 of the family's 1533-position model. The record is from RNAcentral.
CCUACGGGGGACAGCAGUGAGGAAUAUUGGUCAAUGGGCGCGAGCCUGAACCAGCCAAGUCGCGUGAGGGAAGACGGCCCUACGGGUUGUAAACCUCUUUUGCCGGGGAGCAACGGGCGCCACGUGUGGCGCCACUGAGAGUACCCGGAGAAAAAGCAUCGGCUAACCCCGUGCCAGCAGCCGCGGUAAUACGGGGGAUGCGGGCGUUAUCCGGAUUUAUGGGUUUAAAGGGGUGCGUAGGCGGAGCUUUAAGUCAGUGGUAAAAUUGGGGGUCUCAACCCCUUCCCGCCAUUGAAACUGGCGCUCUUGAGUGGAAGAGAAGUAUGCGGAAUGCGUGGUGUAGCGGUGAAAUGCAUAGAUAUCACGCAGAACCCCGAUUGCGAAGGCAGCAUGCCGGCUUCCGACUGACGCUGAAGCACGAAAGCGUGGGGAUCGAACAGGAUUAGAUACCCUGGUAGUC